RNAcentral lists this ribosomal RNA (253 nucleotides) under uncultured bacterium. Its description in RNAcentral is "partial 16S ribosomal RNA". It matches the Rfam family "Bacterial small subunit ribosomal RNA", at positions 524 to 776 of the family's 1533-position model. The record is from RNAcentral.
UACGUAGGGUGCAAGCGUUGUCCGGAAUUAUUGGGCGUAAAGAGCUCGUAGGCGGUCUGUCGCGUCUGCUGUGAAAACUCAGGGCUUAACCCUGAGCUUGCAGUGGGUACGGGCAGACUAGAGUGCGGUAGGGGAGACUGGAAUUCCUGGUGUAGCGGUGAAAUGCGCAGAUAUCAAGAGGAACACCGGUGGCGAAGGCGGGUCUCUGGGCCGAUACUGACGCUGAGGAGCGAAAGCGUGGGGAGCGAACAGG